AUUGAACGCUGGCGGCAGGCCUAACACAUGCAAGUCGAACGGUAGCACAGAGAGCUUGCUCUUGGGUGACGAGUGGCGGACGGGUGAGUAAUGUCUGGGAAACUGCCCGAUGGAGGGGGAUAACUACUGGAAACGGUAGCUAAUACCGCAUAACGUCUUCGGACCAAAGUGGGGGACUUUCGGGCCUCACACCAUCGGAUGUGCCCAGAUGGGAUUAGCGAGUAGGUGGGGUAAAGGCUCACCUAGGCGACGAUCCCUAGCUGGUCUGCGAGGAUGACCAGCCACACUGGAACUGAGACACGGUCCAGACUCCUACGGGAGGCAGCAGUGGGGAAUAUUGCACAAUGGGCGCAAGCCUGAUGCAGCCAUGCCGCGUGUAUGAAGAAGGCCUUCGGGUUGUAAAGUACUUUCAGCGGGGAGGAAGGCGUUAAGGUUAAUAACCUUGGCGAUUGACGUUACCCGCAGAAGAAGCACCGGCUAACUCCGUGCCAGCAGCCGCGGUA
Molecule: ribosomal RNA, 503 nt
Filed under: uncultured bacterium
Lineage: Bacteria
Description: partial 16S ribosomal RNA
Rfam family: Bacterial small subunit ribosomal RNA
Source: RNAcentral